AGUAGUGUGCUUAGUGGGUAGAGCACAGGCCUGAGAGUCCGAAGGACCUGGGUUCUAAUCCCAGCCCUGCCA
Molecule: transfer RNA, 72 nt
Filed under: Ornithorhynchus anatinus (platypus)
Lineage: Eukaryota; Metazoa; Chordata; Mammalia; Monotremata; Ornithorhynchidae
Rfam family: tRNA
About the family: Transfer RNA (tRNA) molecules are approximately 80 nucleotides in length. Their secondary structure includes four short double-helical elements and three loops (D, anti-codon, and T loops).
Source: Rfam by way of RNAcentral